RNAcentral lists this small RNA (29 nucleotides) under Bombyx mori (domestic silkworm). Its description in RNAcentral is "ovarian small RNA-12287". The record is from RNAcentral. Lineage: Eukaryota; Metazoa; Arthropoda; Insecta; Lepidoptera; Bombycidae.
AGUCUUGUACGCCUGCUCGAUGAUGUCCU